AAGGGAGACCUAAUUCGGGUAUAAGACGAAAAAAGAGUAGUCGAAACCAAGAAUCAAUCCCAAAAGGUCGGAACGAGGUAUGUGGCUUUCAAACUAGGUUCUGGGUUCACACAAGACCUGAAUCAGGAACAAGGGCUAUUAGCUCAGGUGGUUAGAGCGCACCCCUGAUAAGGGUGAGGUCCCUGGUUCGAGUCCAGGAUGGCCCACCUGCACAGGUGGCAAAAACAAAGAAGCGUGGAAUCAGCACCUUAUCUUAUCUAUAUAUAAGAGAGAAUGCUGGCUCUGAGUAAAGAGUCCAGAGGAACCUUGAAAACUGCAUAGAGCUAGGUGAAAAAGCCAAAAAAGAAGACCGCAA
Molecule: transfer RNA, 355 nt
Filed under: uncultured Microcystis sp.
Lineage: Bacteria; Bacillati; Cyanobacteriota; Cyanophyceae; Chroococcales; Microcystaceae
Description: partial 16S-23S ribosomal RNA intergenic spacer
Rfam family: tRNA (bases 133-206)
Source: RNAcentral